AUGUCCCAGUUCGAAGAAAUUAUGCACCAGCUUUUAGCGCAUAAUCCAUCCUUUGAUCUAGUUUUCUUUACAACCCAGUUUCUAGAAGGAUUAAAACAUGAAAUUCGUAUGGGUGUGGUUUUGCACCAACCGAAGGAUUUGGACUCUGCGCUUUCCUUGGCUUCGAUGCAGGAGGAGCUAAUGGACGCCCUACCACGGCGUGAGUACAGGCGCCAGGAUGCGCCACAGGCACGACCGGCACCAAGGCCGCUACUGGCGCUGGGAGCUCAAGUACCAUGCCAACCUCCCCCAGGUGCACCGGUGGCGGCUGACGACAGACGCGGUCUCGACACCGCGAAUGCUCCGGAGCGGGGACGAGCGGCCGACGAUCGAGUGGCCGCGCUGCACAAUUAUCGACGGGCGCGAGGCCUCUGUUUCAAGUGCGGCGAACGCUGGGGGCAAGGGCACCAGUGUGCUGCCAUGGUGCAACUGCACAUCGUCGGGGAGCUGCUCGAGCUUCUCCAGGCGGAUGAUCCAGCCCCACAUCAACCCAUGGAAGAGCAAGCUGAUGAGUACCUGAUGUCAAUCUCCAAGCUGGCAACCACUAGACAGACGACACCGCAUACAGUUCGCUUGUUGGGGGCGAUUGCAGGCAAAGAGAUGUUGAUCUUGGUGGAUUCGGGAAGUUCACAUAGCUUCGUGAGCGAAGGGAUAGCCACUGAUCUACAAGAGCAAGUGCAAGAAAUUGCCACCACCUCGGUCAAGAUUGCGGAUGGGGGAGUGCUACAAUGCAAGGGCAUGAUUCCAGCAUGCUCGUGGACAACCCAGGGGCACACAUUUCAGACCGACCUGAGGGUUCUGUCAUUGGGUUGCUAUCAUAUGGUCGUGGGCAUGGACUGGUUACAGAAGUGUGGCCUGAUGUGGGUCGAUUGGGAACACAAAACCCUGCAGUUUCAGCAUGAAGGGGAAUGGGUGCAGCUAACGGGUGUUCAACCAAAAAGUACUGCAGUGGCACAGAUCUCCGCACAACAGCUGAUGGAAUGGGAAGAACAGAAUGCCAUUGCUCAUGUAGUGUUGCUCCAGAGUAUUUCAUCACCUUCGCAGGACAUGCAAGAACUUCCAAAGAUUGUUGCAUUACUCGGUGAAUUCCAGCUUGUUUUUGCUGAGUCCACAACUCUACCACAACACCGUAGCUGGGAUCACAUGAUUCCUCUUAUUGCAGGGGCCAAACCAGUGAACAUCCGACCUUACAGAUACACCCCAAAACAGAAAAGUGAGAUCGAAGCGCAGAUUAAGGAAAUGUUACAGCAAGGAUUGAUAGUACCCAGCGUCAGUCCCUUCUCAUCCCCGGUGCUACUGGUGAAGAAAAAAGACCAAAUGUGGCGCUUCUGUGUGGAUUUUCGGCACCUGAAUGCAAUCACUAUCAAGGGCACUUGCUCCUUGCCCAUCAUCGAUGAGCUCCUUGGCGAACUGGCCAGAUCAAAAUGGUUCUCGAAACUUGACCUCAGGGCAGGGUACCAUCAGAUCCGAUUGGUGGAAGAAGAUGAAGAGAAGACAGCAUUUCGAACUCACAUGGGCCACUUCCAAUUUCGGGUGAUGCCAUAUGGGUUAGCCUACGCUCCUGGCACGUUUCAGACUGGAGUCAAUAUUGUGUUGGGGCCACUGGAACGGCAUGGAGUGCUCAUAUUCAUGGACGAUAUUCUAGUGCACACAGCUACAUACCAAGAGCACCUGCAGUUGCUGCGACAAGUACUCCAGAGACUGCGCGACCAUGAAUUGGUGGCUAAGAGAUCUAAAUGCUCAUUCACACAGCAACACAUCGACUACUUGGGCCAUCAUAUCAGUGACCAGGGAGUGUCAACUCUGACGGAGCACAUUCAGUCAGUGCAAAAAUGGAAACAACCCACAACAGUCAAGCAGCUGAGAGGAUUCCUAGGGUUGGCAGGGUAUUAUCGCAAGUUUGUGCGCAACUUUGGAGUGCUCAGCAGGCUGUUGAACGACUUGCUUAAGAAAAAUGCAGUGUUCGUAUGGACACCCACAGCACAAGCGGCCUUCCAAGCACUUAAGCAAGCAUUGGUCUCAGCCCCGGUUCUGGCAUUACCGGACUUCUCCAAGCAGCUCGUAGUAGAAACAGAUGCGAGCGCAACAGGCAUUGGAGCCGUGCUCAUGCAAGGGGGGCACCCAGUGGCGUAUCUCAGUAAAAGUUUGGUUCCACGAAAUUUAGGGCUGUCAGCAUACGAGAAGGAAUGCCUAGCACUUCUCCUGGCAGUGGAUCACUGGCGCCCCUAUUUACAACACUCUGAAUUCCUCAUUCGCACGGAUCAGUGGAGCUUGCUGAACUUAACAGACCAGCGACUCAACACCCCGAUACAACAACGAGCCUUUACAAAACUGGUGGGUCUGCAGUUUCGAAUCCAAUAUAAAGCAGGAGCAACAAAUCGGGCAGCGGAUGCUCUCUCUUGA
RNAcentral lists this ribosomal RNA (2442 nucleotides) under Triticum aestivum (bread wheat). RNAcentral describes it as "partial small subunit ribosomal RNA". The record is from RNAcentral. Lineage: Eukaryota; Viridiplantae; Streptophyta; Magnoliopsida; Poales; Poaceae.